GCACUCGUCUGUUGGCUCAGAGCUGAAAAGUGCAUUCGCAAGCCUCUGCUGGCUGGCCUGUUGGAUCCGUGCCUCCCUCCAGAGACCCGCGAGCUCCUCCUUUGUCUCCAGAUGCACAAGGAGUGGCUCCUGCCGUUUCUUCUUUUAAGAAAAAGAGAAUAAGGAGUGGGUUCCCAGCCCCUCCAAAAUGAUUUAAUUUGAACGUGAAGAAGACCCGCCCUGGAGAAGAGAAGCUGUAGGGAUUCUGUUCUCACAGUUCUUCACGAGGCACCGCUUGUCCUGGCUCCUGUCUUCCCGACGGCGGGGGCAGGCGUGUGAGCGUCCUUUCUCCAGAAUCACAUCGUACGGUUCUGAGGUCACCCGAAUGAGUGGCCGCAAAGAAGUGUAGAGUUGGUCUGGCGAGACUUGGUGCCAGCUGUAGACAGGCAAAGGGCCGAGGAGCACCCAGGAGUGGCCAGGCCACUUGCUGUGACCCUUAGGCCAGUUUAGGGUCAUCUCUGAGUCUUGGAACUCCUGUCAAAAGCCGUGUUUUUCUAGGAUCAUUUAGGUCCACAGCUACCAAUCGCUUCUUCCUCUUCUUUCCUCCCUUCCUUCUUCUCUUUAUCCUUCAAAAAAAUCGAGGUAAAAUUCACAUAGAAAAAAUCAGUCUUUAACCAUUUGCAAGUGUGCAAUUCGGUGGCACCCAGCACAUUUCCAAUGUCAUGCAGCCACCACCUCUAUCUAGUUCCAAGACAUUGUCAUCACCCCAGAAGGAAACCCGUACCCAGUAAGUGGUCACUCUCCUUUUCCCCUCUCCCUGGACCCUGCAACCAGCAUCAUGAUGCUAUUGGCUUUUGUAUCUUAACAUUGUAAGUAUCGGGAACAAUUCCUUUCAGUCCUUUUAUGUUAUUUGCAAAAUGUAUUAAACACAUUUUGUGCUUAUCGCUGUUCUGGGCACCUCAUGUAUGUGAGCUGUUCAAUCCUCAGAGCAACACUGUAAGAGAGUUACUGUUUUAUUCCUGCUUUGCAGAUGAAGAGGCUGGGGCAGAGGAGGGAAGAGAUGUGCUCGCAGUCCCCAGGCACGAAGGGCAGAGCUCGGACUCACGCUCACCCCAGCGCUGCUGGAAUCGACCCUCUUGGACACCGGCCCGUCCCCUCCACCAGUUUCAGAAAGACCCUGAGCUUGCGCCUGUUGCUCCCAGCUUCCCUCCCUCCCUCUGCUGCCCUUGGCCUAAGGGACUAACUACCACACGGGUGCCUUCCCCUUUAGUGUCCCACGUGGGCCUUUCUCAUUUUUCUCCUUCUUCUGGUUUUGUUCUGUAGCUUCGUGGGGCAUUGGGCAAGAGACGAAAGAUCCAGUGUUAACAUCUGUGCUGUAAUUUUCCGUGACUGUGUCCAGUGACAGAAAGCAUGACUACUCUUUUCUGGAUCAAAACGUCUUUCAGGCUUGAUCCUGACCUCUUUGGACAAACAUAGCUUAGGUUCAUCUGCCAGAUGAGGUAAUUGAGAAUGAAAAAGCUUAAGUAACUUGUCCGAGGUUACUUGGCAGCAAGUGGUGGAGCCCAGAUUUGACCUCAUGUCUGCCUCAUUUCAAAGUCUUGCUCUUUCUCCCACUUCCUGCUGGCUGCGAUCCGAAAUCAGCCCUCACGCCUUCCAAGCGGGCGAGUGCACACCAGCAAUGGCGUCUCCCCCAGCCUGUUACGGUGGGGUGUGGGAUUUCUGGAUCUGCAGGGACUUCUGCAUUUGGACAUAGAGGAAAGUCACCAGCAGAAAUAUGGAUUGAAGACCAGUCGCUAGAUGAACUGGGCAUUCUGCCUUUCUUCUGGUGAUGUUCGACACGGACCGUCCCCUUUAAAGUGACAAGCAAAAAUAUCCAGCUAAUGGAAGCAAGGAGAACACCUUACUUUUACCCAGCACAUCCAGAUGUUUAGGCCUGCUUUUUUGGUUUGUUAGUUUUAAUAAAUCCUGAAUUAUCUGGGCAGUUGUCUCAUGAUUCAUCACUUUGCUUUCCAUGUCUAAGCACGGGCUAGCGGUAGAAGAAAGUUA
Molecule: long non-coding RNA, 2025 nt
Organism: Propithecus coquereli (Coquerel's sifaka)
Lineage: Eukaryota; Metazoa; Chordata; Mammalia; Primates; Indriidae
Exons: 3
Source: RefSeq, a predicted model, not a curated record